UGCUCUUAGACUACGACGAUGUCAGUGAUAUACAGGAGUGUUUGUAUCUUUCUUUUGAUUAUUAGUUGCAGCUCUUCAUAUGUGUCAUAUAAGAAGACGGUGACAUCAAAAUCAGUACAAGUGAGUUCACCCCCAGUAACGACUGUUACAGAUGGCGAUGAUUUUGGAAAUUGUUUCAAAUCAGGGAAUUCAUAUCAAGAAUGGAUAAAAAUCGACAUGGACAGAAAUUAU
Long non-coding RNA from Anneissia japonica, 231 nucleotides. RefSeq lists it as uncharacterized. The transcript is spliced from 3 exons. The record is from RefSeq and is a predicted model, not a curated record. Lineage: Eukaryota; Metazoa; Echinodermata; Crinoidea; Comatulida; Comatulidae.